GUCUACGGCCAUGCUACCCUGAACAAGCCCGAUCCCGUCUGAUCUCAGAGGCUAAGCAGGGUCGGGGCUGGUUAGUAUUUGGAUGGGAGACCACCUAGGAAGACCAGGUGCUGUAGGGG
RNAcentral lists this ribosomal RNA (119 nucleotides) under Pteropus alecto (black flying fox). Lineage: Eukaryota; Metazoa; Chordata; Mammalia; Chiroptera; Pteropodidae. The record is from RNAcentral.